UCGAAUCUGGAUCUCGGGUUUGCCACACUCUUUGCAUUCCGAUCUUUGAUAUAUUAAGACGGCAACGUCGACGUCAUGAAUCUGUUCGUAGGGUUUUCUCUUGCAUCGUUUCAUCUUCAUCCCCAUUGACCGAAACGCUCCUGGUAACAUAUACAUCACCUUUAAGCCCUUCUUAACUCCAUCAACCAUGAUAUAUCAUUCAAUGUGAGCUUCUCUUAUGCUCCCCCUUGCUUUCAGUCGGUGAAUAUAUAAAUAGAGGACAAUGGCAAACUCCUCUCGCUACGAGCUACGCAUAUGAGAGGAAGCCUAAGACUUCCCGGAGGUAAGACAAUCGUCGGAAAUGAGUGUGGAACAGUUGGAGGAGGAAAGCGGCGGUGGCGACAGGGGAGAGGAGGAGGAUGAAGGCGGUGAAUGAAAAAAGAGAAAGACAUUGAUGAUGGUGAAGAGGAUAAAGAGAAGAGAUCAUUAAUGGAGAGUGGGACGAAACAAACGCCGGUGACAAGGAUAUCUAUGGAAACACCGAGGACACUGACCUCAAGAAUUGGGACGCCAAGUUCGUCAAAUUUGAUCAGCCUACGUUAUUAGAUCUCAUCUUGAGCCGGCAAAAGUCUAUAACUUUUCCGGAGCCAAUAGCCGGCGAGUUACACGAAAACACCCGGAGCCGAGGGUUUAACCUAACAAACUCCAGAAACUUACAAAGACAAAAGGAGAAAAAUGAUAAAUAAGGCAGGCUGGAGCAGCACAUUAAACUUCAAGCGCGGUGAAGAACAUCAAUAUUAGAAGCAAAAUUAAGCAAGAAAGCAAUGCAGGCCUAAAUUAUUGGGGUUGAACGCCAAUCUUCUAACACAGUUCCACCAUAUAUAGAACCACAAACCAAAACAAGACUUACCUAUACUUCAUCAACAUAAGCCAAAGAAAGGACACAUCUUCAAACCGAGCAGCCAACGAAGAGAAAUGUUUGGCAAUCGACUACUCAAAGACCAACCACAAUUGAGCAUAAAGCUCCUCGGACCCUUACCAAGUAAUCCGGAAAACCCGUAGGUUGCAUACCAAGGGACCGCACAACUUCACUACACCGAAGCUACACCGCUGAAAUCAUUAACUAACCACACAGGAAGGCGAUGAGAACAUACCAGAGACGACACAAGAGUAGAAACUGAAAGCCUCAAGAGGGGAGCCAAGCCAAGAUCCAUAGUCCAGCGAACCUAACCGAAGACCCAAACAAGCUCCUUCUUACAAUGUCGCACAACCAAACCAGCUCCAUGACGCCAAAAGAAAUCAAAUUCUCCUUCAUAAUACACAAGACUUGUGACAAAUCUUCAAUUCCUCCAAGAGACGAGGAUGAGGUGCUGCAACCGGAAGGGAGAGCCAAGAGACUUCUGAUGCCUUUCUUGAGAGACAGUCAGGCCAAACCCAAGAAAAUGAAGACCCCACAUCUGAACCGGCUAAAUACGACCACCGCGUACCAGAAAAUAGAUAAGGUUUAAAGCCUUCAGUCUCAGCCAAGCAUAGAACGACCAGAAGAAACAGAGCAACAACACUGAAAGAUCUCAAACGAGCAUUAACCGAACAGACCAGCCACAAAUACACUCAUCAAUUCUAAAAGAAAUUGAACAGCUAAAUACUAAACCACAAACUACGAGGAGCCAGAGACAAAGAUCAACCAACCAACUUGACGCAACACCCGAACCGGACUCAAAACCCCUCGAAUCAAAAGACAGCUUCUCUAAUCCCCACUGGCGGAAAAAACAUGCCCUGACAGAGAAGCCGACCUCACCGAGAACGAACCAUCACC
Molecule: long non-coding RNA, 1795 nt
Organism: Brassica napus (rape)
Lineage: Eukaryota; Viridiplantae; Streptophyta; Magnoliopsida; Brassicales; Brassicaceae
Exons: 3
Source: RefSeq, a predicted model, not a curated record